Molecule: long non-coding RNA, 1087 nt
Filed under: Marmota monax (woodchuck)
Lineage: Eukaryota; Metazoa; Chordata; Mammalia; Rodentia; Sciuridae
Source: RNAcentral
UUUUUUUUAAAGGCACUUGAUGGGUAUGUUCCAGCAUUUCUAUACAGUCUGGAAGUACCCAUCAGAAAAGGGCCCCAUGCAAAUCCCAGGGGUGCCCCCUGCUGGUGAAGACAUAGAAAUGAACCAGUAAAUAUUCCUGCUUCACUUCAGCUUCUUGGAGAUGGACUCUUUGAAUAAAGUUACUGUGGGGAGGCAUAAACAGGCGGACUGAAAGCCUUUCAUUGAUCAAGAGAAGAAGCUGGAGUCUAGAUCAGAGAAUCGACUUGAAUAAAAUUACAUGACUUUUAGUUACUGUUGAAAGCGGCACUCAGGAGACAGGAAUGAUUUCUAGAAGCUCAUACAAAAGAAAAAACUCAUUUGUCUCUCAGAAGAAAAGAAAGUGAAGAAAAAUGAAAAGGGUACCAGAGGUUAGUUAUGAUUUUUACACACACAAAUCCGAAAUAAAUAUUUAAUAUUCUGUGUAAUUAAUGGACUUCCAACUUAGGCUAUGAAGAUAUAGGAGUGAAUUCAUUGUUGAUAGAGAAUAUCACUUGCACAGACAGAAAACAAAAUAUGCUUUAUGAUAUUAAUUCAUUUUGUAUAUAUAUACAUACAAACAUACAUACACAUUGAAAGCACCUAGAAAAUGGAUUAACCUAUGUGGAAGAACUUUCAAGAUCACAAAUUGAUAUACAAUGUAAUAAGUAUUUCCAGUUUUGAGUAAGGAUACAUUCAAUUGAUCACUAUAAGACAAAAAAGGGAAGAAAUCUUCAUUUCUCCUCUUUUUGUGGUGCUCACAGUGUCCAAGAGUCCCAUUGUAGGUCCCAGCACAUAGAGAAAUUCAUAUGUUUUAUGUGCCUAAAAUAAACAGCCACUUGAUACUGCCAUAUUUUGAAGAAUAUGUUAAUCCAGCUUUGUGGGAUUGCAUGGAUCACACUAGCAAACACAUGAAAUCCGUGCAGAUUUGGUUUGAAGUACCUUUUUGCUGUAGCUACACAGUUUCCUCAUUCCACCUUCUUUAUCCCAGGAAAUAUACAAAUGAACUGAUGACUUCAUUGAGUUUCUCAAACUGUUAAGAUGCGAAUCUAAUUUUUAAUAAAGCGAUUAU